This 17604-nucleotide long non-coding RNA is filed under the name Homo sapiens (human). Its description in RNAcentral is "non-protein coding lnc-KCNJ15-3:2". The record is from RNAcentral. Lineage: Eukaryota; Metazoa; Chordata; Mammalia; Primates; Hominidae.
AGUCUCCUCAAAUUCUGCACACAUAAAACUUCAGAGCCUGGGAGCGACCCAUGAAACGCAGGUUUUUAAGGACAAAACAAUAGGACAAAAGUGCUGUAUAUUGUCCUUAAGAUGACACAUGAAUUUAAAAUGCAUAGUGUUUGGAUUAUUCAUGAGAGCCCCGCAAGAACGAUGUCCCAGGGGUUUUUGCCAGGAACAUGCCUGAGAUUGUAGAUAAGAAUCAAGCAUCUGGGGCUGCCGCACAAUGGAAAACUCCAGCACUCCAUGGAACUUUUCCAUCUGCAGCAGUCGGAGGAUUUGCCUGAGAACAUACGCGGCAUGAAGACACUCUCAGCCCUCAAGGGCACCCAGUCAGCGCUGUUUAAGGACGGUUUUUCUGUUCACAGCAUACUUCAUGAUUACAGCUUCACUCCAUUGGAUACAACUAUGCUACCUGCGGAUGCAAUGAAGCCCUAUACCCGUGCCUGAAGUCAGGAGCACAGGACACUGGGAGUCUGUCUCAGCGCAGUAACUGCUACAUGGUACGCUCCACAUGGUAUCCUCUCCACCUGAGCCCUCCUCAUCCCUCGCCCCCUCUCCACACCUCACCCUCUCCACACUGUAUUAUCUCCCACUGCAAGCAACGCAGAGGACACAGAGGUGCAGCUGAAGUGAAGGCAGGCCAGUUCUUUUCCAAUUCACUCUUAUGAAAAUGUGUUAAAUCCCGUUAAAUGCACCGACCUGAACUGAAAUGAUGAUAUCAGUAAAUUUGUUGUUGUCAUCUGAUGCCCACACAGAUCUCAGCACAUGUUUUGGGAAAGGCUGCAGUGUUCAAGGAGUACUAGAAAUGUUCUUUCUGAGUGGACUGGCCAUGAUAAGCCAAAGAAUAUUAUAGCCGAUAGGGAUAAAUCAUGGUUUUCCCACUGCGCGGUUGCCUGGUGGAGAUUAUUCCAGCCUUUAUUUACAGCUACAAAAAUAAUCCUGCCUCAAGGAUUUUAGGAAGCAACCACCUCCUGCCUAAAGAACUACACUGCAUUGUUGACUUGCCAGCUAGAAACCAGACAUGAGUCGUGCAGGGAAGUUCCCUUUGAACGGCUUGAAUUGUUGUCACUAGAGGGUGCUAAAUGCCCCUCAAAAAGGCCUUUAGAGAGAAUACUAGUGUGCCUAAUUCUUGAUUUAAAUUCCUUGAAUUGACAUUAUUUUACAAAGUGGUCUCAUUUUUUACUUGUUAAAAUUAAGAUCUAACAUUUAUAAUGCAGAAAUGGUGUUUUUUUUUGAAAAAUUUGGAUUGUUCAUUAUUAUAGAACAUAAAGAAAUACACGUUUUAGGAGCAAACAUGAAUUACACAGAUCUGAAUAUAAGAUUAAAGGCAUAAAUCUGGGGGGGUGAGAUUUGUCCAUGGAAAUUGUAUAAUUGUUUUAUGCCACUGUUAAUGAUUUUAAAGCCUGAAAAAUUUACCACUUUACAAUAAUUUUAGAUUGUUCAAUAUGUUCCCAAAUGUGAGUUGCAUCAAAUUCGGUAAAUGUAGAGUAUGUUUGUUUUCUCUGUACACAAUACUGACGUCAGUGCUAGUGCCUGCCUAAACUCAGACACCAGUAGAUCCUUUUCCAGAACUAAGUGUUAUAGGAGGAAUAUGGAUUAUACUGUAAUAUAUCAGAUGUGAAAAAAGCCUCACGGUCCCUUCCUUUCUCAAAAAAAACGUGUAGUAUUUUGGAAUAUGCAUGGAGUAUAGCACUUCUAAAAAUGGUACUUUAUGUAUAUAUGAAGUAAAAUAGGCCUUAAAACUUAAUAUACAGAUUUCCUUGAAAAUAAUCUUAUUAUACAUUUACACUGACUUUUUGGUCAUCCAAACAUUAUGCACUUAAGCAAAAAGAAAUAUAACCAAUUUUGCAACUUUCCUCUUCCUGCCUUUGCUUCUACUUAAAAAUAUCUGCAGUAUUUCCUUUUCUCGCCGCUUCCACUUUGGUUCAUAUACCAAGGAAUCGUGAGGUCAAUGGGUGACAGUUGUUUGUCUGUGUUCACGGCUGUCGGGCGGGGCUGGGUGUGGGUAAGGCUCUGACCGACAUCUGAAGAGGCUUCACCCACUGCGGUUUAGGAUACAUUUUCCUCUCGCUCUGCCAGUAGAACAGGGAGGCUAGUUUUCAAUGUGUUCUACAGAAGGAUAAUUAAGGCAGUGUGUCACCUGCUCGUCUGCUAUUUUUAAAAGGAAACAAACAUAACCUUUGCAUGUGAGAGGCAUUGCAAACUAGAUGGGAGGAGGCCCGGACCCUGUAACAGUCGUACAUUCCGGUCCCAGCUUCGCUGGGGUGCAACUGCAGAUAAAAGACGCUGGCUCGACAAAAAGCGCCCCUGGGCUCUGCAUUGCCAGCAUGCACAAUACGAAUUGCUAAUGAUGAGCUGGCUUAGGUAGGAACUGAGGACCCUGAGUGCAGGGCUAACCUCUGCUUCACAGGAGGGGUCCACUGGCGCGCGCUGGAGGCGGGGAGCCUUCGUGAUAUUUCUCCGAAGGGAAGAGUCCAUGCAGCAUCCUGAUAACAGGGACCUUGGCUUCAUCCCCAACUGCUCGGUGACCCCGAUGCGUCAUUUAAUUCAUUUGUGCCAAUAUUCCUUUUUCAAUCAACCAGUAACUUUGCAGGUUUGUUCAAAGAAGAAAUUAAAAUGCAUUGGAGAUGGAAGGCAGCCAUCUUCCCGGAGCCCCAGUGCUGACACUGGGAGGGGAACCCCAGGAUUCCCUCAUGACUGUGUCAGUGAUGGCCCUCAACAAGCACUUACUGAAUGAGUGAAUGAAUGAAUGAAUGAAUGAAUGAAGCCGGCCACAGAGCCCAGGAGUAUCAGGGGAGAGCAAUACUGGCUGUGUCAGUGGCUAGUCCAGGAGAGCCCUUCAAGAGCCCAGAGUUCGACUUGAACUUGGGACUCCCCUGGGAUGGGUGAGGUUCUCUCAACAGCAGUUGACAGGAGGGAACUGGGACAGGCCCAGCCAGUUUCAUUCAGUCCAGCCAGCUGUGGCUCCUCUUUAGGAAUGUGGCCAGGCCCAGCUGUGGCCAAAGCACCAGCCAGUCCCUCAGUUCUGAACAGAACGUGCCCAGCAUCAGUGCCUUCAUUUGUUUUUAAACUGCCUGCUGACCAUCCACAAAGUUAAGAUGACAGCUGGGACUUAAGUUGUGAGGAACCAGUGGCUCCCCCAUCACUCUCUCUCACACACACGCACAUGCACACACACAGAGACACACAGACACACACACAUGCACACACACAGAGACACACAAACACACAUGCACACAAAGACAGACACAUAUAAACACACAUAUACACACAUGCACACACAUAUAUACACACAGACACACAGGCAAACACAGACACACAAUGGAUGGUAUCGAUAUCUAUGAACAGAUGAGAGAGAGAGACAGAGCAGGAGGUCAUCUGCUCCCCACCCCUCUUCUCCCCACUGUCACCACCUCUCUCCCAAGUCUAGCUGCAGGCCCUGUGAGCUGUGGAAGUGGCUUUUUUAAGCUGUCUUCUUAGAUUGAGUCAUUGGGCAGUGAGGAAGGUAAAUUUUCUCUAAGAAGCCUCCCAAAUCUGUAUCUUAUGGGAUUUCCGUCUCAAUAAUUGAGCUAAUAGUACCUGUAAGCAAGUGGAUAGUCAAUAAAAAAAAAAUACCGGCUGUAAGAACGAAUGAAUGAAUGAGUGGAUGAGUGGAUGAGUAUACAUCCUCUAUUUUGCUGGCAUCAUGAUUAUUUUACAGCAGAUUUAUCUGGAUUUCAAUAUAAAAUAAGAGCUCCCAUUUGUAUACAACUUAGUCCUUGUAAUUUUCCAAAGUAACUCUGAUUAAAAUUAUUUCCAGCCAAACUAUUUAGGCAACUGGGUUGGUUUCACACGUACUUAUCAGAAACCAUUAGAAUGGUAUAUUGAUUGCAUUUCUAGACAUUUGCCAUACCACCAUGGCAACUGUAUUUCCCAAGAUGGCCCAGUAGGAUGUCCCAUCAUGCAUAACCUUCUAUAAAGUGACAUUGACUUUGCUUCCAUCAGAAAGUGAGGUCCACGUUCCCACUCCUUGAAUCUGAGUUGGGCUGUGACUACAGCAGAAGUUCAGCUAUGUGGCUUCCAAGGCUACCUUGGAAAGGUGAUAGAGCUUCCACCUGAUUUUCUUGGGAACAGCCACUCUUAAACCUCAGCCACCAUACGGGGAGAAAGCCCAAGCCAUGUGACGAGGCCAUUUGUAGGUGUUCCAGUCAUCAGUCCCAGCCCACAGCCAGCAUUAACCCCCAGAGGUAUAAAUGAAGAAACCAAGAUCACUCCAGCCCCAACCGGCACUUGACUGCAAACCUAUAAGAGACUCCAAGCAAAUAAUAUCUAUCUCAGCCCAAUCAAGCCCUGGAACCAUGAGAGAUUCUAAAUAAUAAAGUGAUCAUUGUGAUUUUAAGCCACUGAGUCCUGCAGUGAGUUGUUAUAUAGCAACCGGGCAUCGGCAUACCAUCAGAAGAUUCCUUAAGAAGAAACUUUUGCAACGUUGCUACAGCAGAAAAUAUUCCUUCUGUAUGAUCAUUCAUCCAUUCAUCAAUCUUGAUUGGCAUUGCCUAUGUGCUAAGCAUUGUCGGUCACUGGAGGUGCAGAAAAGAAGUGAAGCAGUAUUCAGCCAAACAAACAACUUGCAUAUUGGAUAGAGAGAAAAAUAUGCCAAAAUUACAACAGUAUUUUGACCCAACAGAAAGGACAUAAGAAGGGAACAUCAACAGUUCCUUCCUAUUCUUUUCCACCCUUUUUCUUUCUAGGCUCAUUAAAUGUAGAGGUGCCUCAGGGUCACUUUGCCCCAUGAGAGUAGAUACCCUCCUCUCCCAUCCCUAACUUUGGUCUUCACUCUAUGCCUGAUACCAGCAGCUCCCCAGGCUCCUCCAUGCUGUUGGCACCCCAUUCCCAUUCUCUGGAAACAUCUCAGCCCAUCAACCUCAGAUUACUUUCCCAAGGAGAUGUGAGAAAACUUCAAUUUUCCCCUUUGUGACUUGCAGAGAAAUAGGGGUGGUAAAUGAGAAGCAGAGGGAGAGGGUGGGGAUUCAUUACCUUGAGUUACUAAAGAGAAAAGCUCUAGUGUUUAGAAGGUGCUGUUAUUAUUUUCUCUGAAACAUUAGCUCCUAGAAAUCAGAGGCUCUGUCCCUAGCAUGGUCUCUAAGGCUUCCAGGACGCCCCAGGGGCUUCCCUCAGUCAAUUUUGACUCUAAUGAGAGCCAUCUGGAAGGCUGCAAUGGUGGGCCUGGCUGAUCACUGGAGGGGCCUUCGCUGUGGGCACAGGGACGUGCACAGGUUCACAGAGUGUGUCUCCGUUUCUGGGAACCAUGGUCCUGUGUGCUCCUUCCCCAAAGAAAGCAGGAGAAAGAAAAACCACAGUCCUGAGUGGGAUUCUCCCCAAACAUCUAAAAAGCUUCUUUAAAGAAGUCAAGUUAUCAUAAUUAAACUCACAUAUGGAAUGCCUAUAGACAACGUGUUGCUCUUCCAAUCCCAGGGAGCUAGGACACCCAAAACUCACCUCCCAGACGGAGCUAGGAUUUGAGAUACUGGAUUCCACAUUACUUAAAGCUGUUCGAGCUUUUCAUCAGGAAUGGAAAGCAUUAAUGCGUCUCACACGUCACUCUCUGUUUCAUGGAAUUCUUACACUGGGGAGCUCUUUUUAUUUUACUAUUUUUCUUUAACAGCCAGAACACUGAGAAGUUUGCAAAGAAAUUUUUCAGCUGCCUUUAGUGACCCUUAACUCAAGAGGUUUUGCCUAAUCUGUAAAUUGGAGUUGAAAAUAUUUCAGUACUUUUGGAGUGGGGAGCUUUUUGUCUUUAAAAGAGUGGAACGACACUAACAAUAGGGCUAUACAUACCUUGUGCUUCUUUGUCAGUUACUGCAAACCAAAACCAGAUGUGAAGUAUCAGCGGCUACCUCGUAGUGACCCAUGGAAGUUGAGGCUAAUCCAUAUCAUUCUUAAUAACUCAAAACUGCCACCUUUUAACCACCUAAUUUUUUUCUCACUUACAAAUGCAAAAAAAGGAAUUGACAGUACACAUUGAAAUCGAUUUUCCCCUGACCACUUACAGAUUUUCUCCUAUAAGAGCCAGGAAUAAAAGCUCACUCCAUUAUAUCAAGCAGCCAUCAUCUGAGUAUGCUUUAGUUUAGGUGAUCAUCACCUUUAACAAACCAAGAUCUGGAAGGAAGAUUUCUGAUCUUUAACAAACCAAGAUUUGAAAACUAGAUAUUCCUGUCAUGACCUUUUCCCAACAUUCAGUAUGUAAGGGAUUCACUGGAUUAUUAGACUGCUUGUAAAUGUAAGAAAACAUAGAAGGUUUAGUGUGAAGGAGUUAGCAACCUAACAAAUGUUUCCCCCUGAAUUUUCAAUAACCUUCCUGAAUUUAAAGGUAAUGAAUAUAAAUGAAGAACAAAAUCAAUAGAUAUAGGAAUGAUUCACAACCUCCCAAAUGAAUAAAUCAAUCAUUCCACCCUACAUUUGAACAUUCAAUCAAUAUUUUGUCUAUUUACUAAAUCUAAGAGGAACUACUUUAACAUAAAACUAAAUAUGAAAUUAUUUCCAGCAUUGAAUAUUGUGUUUUGCCUUAGAGCAGGCACAAAGUGGAAUGCCUAUGGGUACAAAGCUAGGCAUUGAUUGAUGUUUAAUACCUACAAAUACAGCAAUUACACUGUCAUGCUACACGAGACUUCCUAUUCCUACACUGAAAUUAGACUGCACAUAUGUAGGGAUAAAAGAUAAGACACAAUCAUAUCAUAUUUCCUCAAAUCUAAGACUUUGGGUGGUAAGAUGUAAAGCACAUCAUGAUUUAAAGUAUCACUAGGAAAGAAAAAACAAUUCUGCCAAUGAAAAUUCACCGUAAUACUUUCUAAUCAAUCAAUUUUAAGAUACAUCCCAAUUUUUAAGCAAGAAUAAAUGUGUUAAAAUUAACACAAAUUGGUACACUUGUGAUACAACAGAAGCACUAAAAUGUCACAGCAAUAGACCACAGGGUUUCUCAACCUUGGCAGCAUCAACAUUUUGGGUUGGUUAAUUAUCUGUUGUGGGGGCUGCCCUGUGCAUGGCAGGAUGUUUGCUAGCAUUCCUGGCCUCUACCCACUAGAUGCCAGUAACACCUCGCAGACUCCAAUUAUGACAACCAAAACUGUCUUUAGACAUGGCCAACUGUCCCUAAAGGUGCAACCAAAAACUGUCCCAGUUGAGAACCACUGGAACAGAGCAAUUCGGUUUUAUCAGCCUUGUAAUAUAAUUGUGUGUGUGCACUGUGUGCAUGACAGACUGUCAGCCUAAUGGAAGGUAUAUUGUCAGAUGGGAUAGAUUGACCUGAAAAAAUCACAUAAACCAACAGCUGGUACAUAUACAAGAGUGUGUCCUGCCCAUCCUAACCCACACAAUGCAAAAGAACCUGGAUGACCACGAGUCACCAUCACAGGAGUUUACUAUCCAUAAGUGUAAACCAUCCAAGAAAAGUGAAAACAGAUUAAAGAAAAUAAAAAUAAAUAAACCACCACACAAUAUUUGGGCCUAGCCAGAUAACAACAAUGAAAAAAUGUAAUAUUUUGAAGUAUUGGCAAGAAUGUGGAGGAAAAAGCAUUGACAUUCGUGUAUAAUGGGAAUAAAAUAAUUUAUCCUUUGUCUCCGCAAUUGAUAUUCUAGAAAUCUAUUUUUUAGAAAUACUCACAAUAGACAGUUAUAAGUACAAAGGAUGUCUGCUAUUACACUGCUCAGUAACAGUAAAAUAUGAAAAUACACUGUACGUCUUUCAAUCAGAUAUUGAAUAAUUAUACUACACAGUAUUAAGAAUGAGAUAGAUAUUAAUGUACUGCAUAGAAAAUAUUCAAAGUAUAAUAAGUUUUAGAAAAUUAUCACAUAUGUAUAUUAGCAUAUGCAGAGAAAACAUCUUAAAAUACAAAUUUCAGUUUUGAGGUUUGGAUCAUGGAGUAACUGCCCCCUUUUCAAGUCAAACAGUUGAGAAAAUUUAGGAUAAAACAAGUGUGUGCUACCUUUGUAAUCAGAUAAAGUAUUUUAAAAUAAUUCACAUUAUAAUAUAGAAAUACUGAAAUGCCAAGAAAAUUUAAAUAUAUUAAUUAAAACCUACGGGCCAGGCGCAGUGGCUCACGCCUGUAAUCCCAGCACUUUGGGAGGCCGAGGCAGGCGGAUCAUGAGGUCAGGAGAUUGAGACCACCCUGGGCAACAUGGUGAAACCCUGUCUCUACUAAAAAUACAAAAAUUAGCUGGGCAUGGUGGCGUGUGCCUGUAAUCCCAGCUACUCAGGAGGCUGAGGCAGGAGAAUCGCUUGAACCAGGGAGUCGGAGGGUGCCGUGAGCCAAGAUCAUGCCACUGCACUCGAGCCUGACAACAGAGUAAGACUCCGUCUCAAAAAAAAAAAUAAUAAUAAUAGGCUACCAAUUAGACUUUAUAGAAUACAUAAAUAUAUUAAUAUAGCUACAAAGAGGUUGAAGCUUAUUCAUUGAGACAAGAGUAUUUAUUGAGCAUCGACUUUAUUAAAUACACUGUUAGUAAGAUAACAAGUGAAACUUGUUAAAAAAAAAGAAACUAGGACAAAAGAAAUUUGAGUUGAGUUCCCCAAAAACAGGGAAUAUUCAGAUUGUAGGGGAAAUUGGGUAAAGGAUUUGUUUCAGCAUGAAAGGAGCAAGGAGCAAAGAAACUAAAUGGGAGGUUAUGCUGAGAAGUAUAUCAGUAUGAGGAAAUAUCUUGACAUCUACAGACAAAUAUUUGUUGCCAAUUCAUUUUGGGCAUUGAGGAUUCACAAGAAUAAUUAAAAACACGUAAUAUAAAAUCCUUCUGAUUAGAGCACAUUUUAUGGCACUGCAUAAAGAGAUGGCUGUGGGAGUCAUUUAUAUUUUAAUACUAACUUGAACAAGGCUUGGUUCUGCAAAUAAAACAGAAGAGUAAAUAUGAAGUGGAGCACAUAAUAAUGUUACUGUUUCUGUGGGUGAGCUUCCAUAGGAAAGAGGCAAAGGCAUCAAUCUCAAAAAGUUAGAAAAACCCAAAGAAAGAAGAAGAAAAAUAACAAAUGAGAACAAAAUUGAGAAAAUUGUAAAUAAUAUGGUAGAGAAGAUAAACAAAACCAAAUCUGGUUCUCUGAAAAGAUUAGUUAUGUGUAAGUCACUGGUGAUUACAGAGAGAAAAGAGGGAAGGUUAAAAUAACCAAAGUCAACAAUAAAAAGGGGGCUAUUACUACAGAUGCUGUAGACAUUGGAAGGAUAAUAGAAUAUUAUGAUCAAUUUCCUAUCAAUAAAUGUGAAAAAUUAGUUGAAAUACAUAAUUGGAAAAUAUAAUUUACCAAAACUGUCAAAAGAAAAAACACAAAACCUGAACUCCUAUAAUUAUUAAAGACAUUGAUUGAAAAAUCUCAGACCUCUUAAAGGACAACUCCAAAAAUAAAAAAAUAAAAAAAAGAAAGAAAGUUCCAGGCCAGACGGAUUUAUCAGCAAAUUCUAACAUGCAUUUAAAAAAAAAAGGAUGCCACUCUUACAUAAGCUUUUCAGAUAAAAGAAAAGAAAGCUUGAUACCAAAAUGUAGCUAGAAAAUUAUUUAAAAAGGAAAAUUAUGGGUCAAUUUCAUACAUAAACAUAGAUGCAAAAUCCUAAAUAAAAUUCUAGAAAACAAAACCCAACAGUAUAUACGACAAUAAUAUAUAUUGUGAACAAACUGGAUUUAUUUUAAGAAUGAAAGCUUGUUUCAAUCAAAUAAUCAAAUUUACAUUGUAAAGAAAAUUUAUAUAACUUUAAACAAAAGAAGAAAAGCACUUAAUAACAUUCAACAUUCAUAUUAAAAAUUCUUAGUAAAUUAGAAAUAAAGAGGAAGUUUAUAAAUCCUACAAAUUGAUAAAAGGAAUCUACCGAAACCUACAGUAAACCACACAUUUUCAUGUCAAAACUUUAAAAUUUAAUCAUUUGAAGUUGGGGGAAAAGACAAAGAAGCCCCACAUAUUACCGCAUUUGUCUGAAAUUGAAUUGGCAGUCUUAGUUAGUAAAGAAGGCAAGGAAAUGAAAUGCAAUGUUAAAGGAUUGGGAAAAAGUAAAUAAAACUUUAUUUACAGAUGACAUCAUUUUUUUACACAGAAUUUCCAAGAGAAUUUGGAAAUAAGUCAUUAGAAUUAAUAAAUGAGUUUUAAAAGUUUGCUAGAUACAAGGUCAAUAUAGAAUUUUAGUUUUAUAUAUCAGCAUAAACAUCAAUAGAAAUCAAAAUUUUUAAGUGAUACUGUUUUCAUUAGCAUUAAAAAUACCUUACAAUAUGGACAUAAAUCUAACAUAAUACGUGCAGAACCUCUACACCAAAAACUACAAAAUAUUAUUAAAAGAAGACCAAAAUAAAUGGAUAGAUAUAUUCAUGGAUUGAAAAACUUAAUAAUCAAAGGUAGAAUUUUCUUCAAAUUGAUCAAUAGAUUCAAUGCAGAUGCAUUCAAUAUUUCAACAAAGUUUUUGUGAAACUUGAGUGAUUCUAAAAUAUGUAUGGAAAUGCAGAGUCAAAAACAGACAAGAUGCUCUUAAAGAAGAGUGAGAAAUACAAAAGAUUAUCAGAGACUAUUACAAACUGGAAAACCUAGAGGAAAUGGAUACAUUUCUGAACACAUACAACCUGCCAAGAUUGAAUCAGAAAGAAACUGAAAACUUAAACAGACCAAUAACAAGUAAUAAGAUUGGAUAGGAAAAAAAAUCUCCCAACAAAGAAAAGUCAAGGACCAGAUGGUUUCACUACUAAUUCUACCAAACUUAGAAAGAAGAACUAAUACCAAUCCUCACCAAGCCAUUUCAAAAAAUUAAAGAGGAGAGAAUUCUUCCUAAUUCAUUCUAUGAGGCCAACAUUACCCUCAUAACAAAAUCAGACAAGAACACAACAAAAAAGAAAACUACAGGCUGAUAUUCCUGAUGAACAUCACUUCAGUUCAGCAUGGAUACAGGCCAAUAUUUCUGGUGAAUAUAAGUUUUCUAGUAUUUUGUUCAGCAAAAGCUAUCAACAAAAUAUUAGUAGCCUGAAACCAACAGCACAUCAAAAAGAUAAUGCACCAUGGUCAAGUGGGAUGUAUCCCAGAGAUGCAAGGAUGGUUCAACAUACACAAAUCAAUAAAUAUGAUACAUCACAUCAAUAGAAAAAAACAAAAACCAUAUGAUCAUAUCAAUAAAUGCAGAAAAGGCAUCUGAUAAAACUUAACAUUGUUUCAUAGUAAAAGCUCUCAACAAACUAGGUACAGAAGAAACAUACCUCAAUAUAUUAAAGUCCAUACAUGAUUAACCCACAGCUAACAUUAUACUGAACGGGGAAAGGCGGAAAGUCUCUCCUCUAAGAACUGGAACAAGACAAGGAUUCUCAUUUUUAUCACUUCUAUUCAAUAUAGGACUGGAAGUCUUAGCCAGAGCAAUCAGGCAAGAGAAAGCAAUAAAGGUCAUCCAAACUGGAAAAGAAGUCAAAUUGUCCCUCUUUGGAGAUGACAUGAUCUUACAUCUAGAAAAACCUACAGACUCCACCAAAAAACUCUUAGGUUUAAUUAAAAAAUUCAGUAAAGUUGCAGGAUACAAAAAAAUCAGUAGCAUUUAUAUACCCAAUAAUGCACUGGCUGAGAAAGAAAUCAAGAAGAAAAUCCCAUUUACAAUAGGUAUAAGGAAAAAAUAUCUAGGAAAAAAAUUAACCAAGGAAGCGAAAAAUCUCUACAAAAAAACUACAAAACACUAAUGAAAGAAAUGGAAAAGGACACAAACAAAUGAAAAGACACUGCAUGGUCAUGGAUCAGAAGAACUAAUAUCAUUAAAAUGACCACACCACCCAAAUAAAUCUACAGAUUCAAUGCAAUCCCUGUUAAAAUAUUAACGUCAUUUUUCACAAGAAUAGAAAAAAACAAUCCUAAAAUUUAUAUGAAAGCAAAAAGGAGCCUGAAUAGCUAAAGGAACCCUGAACAAAAACAACAAAACUGGGAGCAUCACAUAACCUGACUUCAAAAUAUAUUACAAGGCUCUAGUAACCAAAAGAGCAUGAUACUAGUAUAAAAACAGACGCAUAGACCAAUGGAACAGAAUUGAUAACCCAGAAAUAAAUCCACAUAUUCACAGCCAACCGACUUUCAACAAAGGCAUCAGUAACAUACAUUGGGAAAAAGACACCCUCUUCAAUAAAUGGUGCUGGAAUAAUUGGAUAUCCAUAUGCGAAAGAAUAAAACUGGACCUCUAUCUCUUGCCAUAUAUAAAAAUCAACUCAAGGUAGAUGAAAGACUUAAACUUAAGACCCCAAAUUAUAAAACUAUUAAAAGAAAAUAGAGAAAACAUUUCAGGACAUUGAUCUAAGCAAAGAUUUGAUGGCUAAGACCUCAAAAGCACAGGCAAGAGAAAACAGACAAAUGAGACUAUAUUAAACUAAAACACUUCUGCACAGCAAAGGAAAGAAAACAACCAGCAGAGUGAAGAGACAACCUGUUGAAUGGGAUAAAAUAUUUGUAAACUGUUCAUCUAGUAAGAGAAAAUCCAGAAUAUACACAAAACUCAAACAACUCAACAAUUAAAAAGAAAACUUUUACAAAGUGGGCAAAGAACGUCAAUAGACAUUUCUCAAAAGAAGACACAGGAAUGGCCAUCAAGCAUAUGAAAAAAAAUACUCAAUAUCACUAAUCAUCAGGGAAAUGCAAAUCAAAACCACAAUGAGAUAUCAUCAUACCUUAGUUAGAAUGGCAAUUAUUAAAAAGACAAAAAAUAACAGAUGCUGGCCAGAAUGCAGAGAAAAGGGAACUCUUCUACACUGUGAGUGGGAAUGUAAAUUAGUACAGCCACUAUAGAAAACAGUAGAGAUUUCUCAAAAAACUAAAAAUAAGACUCAAUAUAAUCCAGAUAUCUCACUACUGGGUAUUUAUCUAAUGAAAAAGAAAUCAGUAUAUCAAAAAGAUACUUGCACCCACAUGUUUACCGCAGCACUAUUUACCAUAGCAAAGACAUGAAAUCAACCUAAAUGUCCAUCCACAGAUGAAAUGGUAAACAAAAUGUGGUACAUAUACACAAUGGAAUACUAUUUGGCCAUAAAAAUAAGGAAAUCAUGUCACUUGCAGCAACAUGGAUGGAACCGGAGGUCAUUAUGUCAAGUAAAAUAAGCCAAGCACAAAGGACAAAUACCACAUGUUCUCACUCCUAUGUGGGAGCUAAAAAUGUUAAUGUCAUGGAGAUAGAGAGUGGAAUGAUGGUUACCAGAGGCUGAGCAGAGAGUGGGAGUGGAGAGGAAGAGAGUUUGGAUAAUGGGUACAAACAUACAGUUAGAUAGAAGGAAUAAGUUCUGAUGUUGUAUAGCAGAGUAGCUGACUAUACUUAACAAAAAUGUAUUGUAUAGUUCAAAUCAGCUAGAAAAGAGGACUUGCAAUGUUCCUGACACAUAGAAAUGAGAAAUACCCAAGGUGACAGACACCCCAAAACCCUGACUUGAUCAUUACACAUUCUAUGCAUGUAACAAACUAUCACAUGUACCCCAUAACUAUGUGUGUGUGUGUAUCUAUCUAUCUAUCUAUCUAUCUAUCUAUCUAUCUAUCUAUCUAUCUAUCUAUUUAUAGUAUCCAUUUUUAAAAGGCAAAUCUUAAAAAAAAGAGUGAGGUAGGACAACCUGCUCUACUAAACAUUUUUAUAAAGGCACAGCAAUUAGGUCAGAAUAGUGUUCAUGCAGGUAGAAACAAAUCAGACAAUGGAAAAGAAAGGAAAGUUCAGAAACAGAUUCACACAUAUAUGGACACACUUGAUUUUUGACGAAGGUGGCAGUUGAUUUUUUUUUACAAAGGGGCAGAGUAGUUAAAAAAGGGAGAAACUGUUGGUAAAUGAUGCUGGAAAAUGAGAAAUCCACAUGAGAAACAGAAACUUGAGAAGUAACUCAUAACAUCACAAAAAUUGAUGUCAGAUAAACUAUAAAUCUAAAUAUGACAAGCAAAAACUAUGAAGUUUCUGGAACAUAAUAUAGAAAACUAUAUUCCUGACUUGGGAAGGGAAAGAUUUUAAAAACAAGGCACAGAAACACUAAGAGUAAAGGAAAGACUAAUAAAUUGAACUGCAUUAAAAUAAGAAAAAAAUUAGGAACUUAAAUUUUCAUCAAAAGACACUAUUAAGAGAAUCAAAAGGCAAUGCAUGGAGUGGAAGAUGAUAUCUUUAACACAUCUAAUCUACUAUUCAUAUCCAGAAUAUGUAAAGAACCCCCAUCAAUCAAUAAGAAUACACACAAGUCAGAAUACACACAAGGAAAAACAGGGAAGAAACUGCACAGGCAGUCAUAAAAGAGGAUAUCCAACUGCUCAUUAAAAGGUCUUCUACUUCAUUAGUAAAGCAGGAAGUACAAAUUAAAACCUGAAUGAAAUAACACCACAGAUACAUCAGAAUGUCUAAAACAAAGACUAACAAUGUUGGUGAAGAUGUGGAGCAAUAAGAACUCUCACACACAGCUGGAGUUUAAAAAACAUCCUUAUUUAUCCAUCAGGGCUGUAAUAAGAGGCAUAUAGCAUAUUCAAAUAGGUAAGUGAACAAAAUUUAAUGAAAGAAUUUACAACGGUAAAGGUAGAAUUUAGUAAAAACCAAAGGGUGAGGAAGUCCCCCAGGCUAGCAAGAACAGGAAGCCAUUACUACCCUCAGGCCUACAAGGGCAAGGGAGGUAGCAGUCACGCAGCACCGGUAGCUGUGAACACAGGAGAGGAUAAACAAUAGGAGCUGUGGCCUUCCAUGGAGGGAAAAAGUCACUGCCAACCCAUGACCAAAGAGAGAAAGCUGGAGAAAAAAACUCCCCAAGCUCUCUCCUCCUACUCUCAGGCUUCCUUGUGGUGACUCUCAUUUGCUUAACCCAACAGAAGAUAGAGGACAAAGGAGCCCAUUUGAUGUAGUCGACAGAAGUCAAACUCCCAGGACAAGAGGAGCAGAGAAGGAUGGAGAAUGAAUUAGAGAAGUAAACAAAGAAAGUCGGCACAUCUACUGUCAUCAAAGACUGUGUAAUUCCACUAUUUAAUACAUGUACAAUAGAGAUGUGUGUAUAUGUGCACCAGAAGUCACCUACAAGAAUGUCCACUGCAGUAUUAUUCUCUCAGUUAAAUGCUAUAUCUGGCUGCACAACUAGAUUAGGACUGAGACCCUAACCACACAUGUAGAAGCAGGGAGAAAGAUGCAGUUGAGAAGCCCUUUGCCAUCUGAUAUGCUUCCAAACAAGGGAAACUCAGCUUGGACACUGAAAGCAUUUUGUAUAAAAUACUGUUUGUAUGAUAUCCCCAUGUCACCACACACACACACAUACAGACACACACACAUACACACACACACAACAAAAACAAAAAAAACUUCCAGGGUUACUUUUCUCCUCAGUUAGCAGGUCAAAACUUUUCACGUGUGAAAUACUUUUGCAAGGAGGCAGAUGAAACGGGGGAGAAGGGAUAACCUUGCCUUGCAGUCAUCUAUCAAUUCACUGCAAGGAAGGAACACAGAGCUUAGAUAUGAAGCAUCAGGAGUUCUUCCCAAGACCCUUCUUGUCCCUUGGGAAGAGCCAGGAGCUGGAGGGGAUGGCCUUCACUGAGAAGUGGCAUCAAAUUAGAACCUGCACAACAAAUAGGAACCAGCUACUUAAAGAUCCAGAGAAGUAGCCCUCUAGACUGAAGGAUCAGCUCCUCAAAUAUCCUUUUUGAUUUUGAACUCACAAGUUCAGGGGCAUCCGAGGAACAGACACAAGCCAGGGCUGAACAAUCUCAUCUGUGUCCAUGAGGUGGGCAAGAGCCAGAUCCUACUGAGGAGUUUGAACUUAAUCCCAAACAUGGCGGGAAGCCAUUGGGGCCAAAGAUGAAUUAGGGAUUGUCUGAUCUCCUUGACACGUUCUGAAGGUUUUGUGUACAGAAAAGGUUUGUCAACAUGCACAAAGGAAAGCUGGGAUAACCAAGCUAAGACGCUACCGCAUCAUUCUAGGGGACGGGUGACUCAUUCCAGGAGUUUCUGCAGGAAGACCUAUCAGGACUGGUGAUUGACUGGAGGCAGAGAGCACGAAAAAAGAACAAUCAGAGAUGAUCUGUGGUUUGUGGUUGUUGUGUAAUGUUAAGGCUUAACAACUGCGAAAAUAGUGUUUUUACUUUACAGAGAAGAAGACUUGAAGAAUACAAGAUUGGGGAGAGCAGAUCGGGAUUUGUACUUUAUAUCAGACGUGCUCAUAGAUAUACAUGUUGAGAUAUCAGUUGGGAGCUGGAUAUAUCAGGAUUCGAGACUGGGAAUCACCAGUUUAUAGAUGGUUUUUAAGCCAUGUGAUUGGAUCUCAUUUCUUAGUGGGGAGAAGUGAGAUAACAAAUAAAAGCCAAGAUUAAAGCUGAACCUUCAGCCUGCCCAUCACUUAGAAGCCCAGCAGGGACAGAAGAGCCAGCCGACAGCACAGAGUCGAGGAGGAGGAUUUCCGGGCUUCAGUGAGUGUGCAUCAGAGAUUCAUGGACACAACUUAAAGUAAGACCAGCCACACAGUUCCCUUCAUUUUCUCAAGCAACAUUCAGCAUCUCAAAGUGCGGCUACUACACACGGAGCCAAGCCCUGGUCCAGUUAUCACAAAACCUUACUAGAUAUGUCGAUUAUUAGCUGCAUUUUAUAGCUAAAGGUAGGCAGGCACAGAGAAGUUACGUCUCUUGCCCACAGUCACAGCAAGCAAACAGACCUCAGACCAAAGUCUUUCUAACUCCUUAUUUCACAUCUAAAACACUAUGUGACGCCACCUCCAAAAAAUGUGGGGGUUACUCUAGGACAAAAGAAGCUCAUGAAAGCAAAGAGAGAAGCAUAGAGCUUAAAUUUAGAACAAUAUUCAGGGUGAUUGGGAAAAAUAGCCUCCAUACAAAUAUAAUCGGUUCAUCACCAGGUGAAUAAAAUGAGAGAGGAACCUGGUACAAGUGAAGUUCAUUGAAUUUGCUUGCAAAAAAACAUAAUUCAAGUGUGGAAGUUUGGAAACUAAAAUAGUAAUCAGCUAAAGAAAUUUUCAGGCCAACUUAGACACAAUGGUGACAAAGCUCCCCUGAGGAGACAGGAACUAUACUACUUGCAACUCUAACUGAAUGGACUUAACUUAGCAAUUAAGAUCACCGUAAGUUUGAUCAGAUAAGUAUUAAAGGGUGUCUUGGGUACAUUUGCAGAUUCAGACACUCUUAGUUGUGAAAUUCUUCACCAAAAAUUUGCAACUUAUGGCUUGCACAUUAAAAACAUGAUAUGAAUGAAAUUCAGAUAUCUCUUGGUAAAUUUUAUAAUUAUUCCUCCCAUCAGCUAAAGUUCUCAGUAUGAAGGGUUAUAACUGAUGUCAUAUACAAUAACUACAAGCUGUAUCAUACAAAAAUUGAGAAUUUUCUAUUAUAGAAAGAGUUGCUUUAAUCUAAACCUAAAGUAGCAUCAAUAAUUUUUCGUAAGUGGUCCCCUUCCUAUGAGUAAGCCCCCAGGAAAAAUAAAUUGCUUUUAAGAAAUGCUGUAAGUAAGCUGUUUCAUAUAUAAGUUUUGACAAGAUCUGGCUACUUAAAUUACAAGAUAUAAAAUGAGAUUUGUACUUUUUCUCAAAUGUAAAAAAAAAGAUUUACUUCUGAAAUAAUGGUCUUUAUAAAAUAUGCAUUUUUGUUCCUUUUUCUUAUCAUAUCUAUAAAUUUACUAAUAAAAGAUUCUAUCU